Molecule: RNA transcript, 1791 nt
Organism: Homo sapiens (human)
Lineage: Eukaryota; Metazoa; Chordata; Mammalia; Primates; Hominidae
Gene: SPATA3
Gene name: spermatogenesis associated 3
Exons: 6
Source: RefSeq, marked validated
AGCUGGAGGCCCAAGCCAGGCUCCUAGGGCAGAGGGCAAACGGCCCCUCCAGGAGGGAGCCGGGAGAUUACGCAGCUCCAUGUAGGUCCACGUUUAGGUUGGGAGGAUCUACCAUGAAGAAGGUCAAGAAGAAAAGGUCAGAGGCCAGACGCCACCGAGACUCCACCUCCCAGCAUGCUAGCUCCAAUUCCACCUCUCAGCAGCCUAGCCCUGAAUCCACACCACAGCAGCCUAGUCCUGAAUCCACACCACAGCAGCCUAGCCCUGAAUCCACACCACAGCAUUCCAGCCUUGAAACCACCUCCCGGCAGCCAGCAUUCCAAGCCCUUCCAGCACCCGAAAUCCGCCGCUCCUCUUGCUGCCUUUUAUCUCCAGAUGCUAACGUGAAGGCAGCCCCUCAAUCCAGGAAAGCAGGGCCUCUGAUUCGCGCCGGCCCGCAUUCCUGCUCCUGUGCCACUUGCCCCUGCAGCUCCGCUUGCUGGCGUCGUCUGGGGCUAUGCCAUAGCCGCAUCUUCGAUGUCCUUCUGCCUCGGGACUGGCAGAUGGCGCCAGGGAGAGGACUCCCCAACCUGCUCACCUUCUACAGAAAAUCUUCAAGAAAACCCUCCAGUCAUCGUAACGCGUGUCCUCCAAGCCCUCGGAACUGUGGCUGUGGCUCUGGGGGCUCUAGGAGCUGCCUACUACAUCACUGAAUCCUUGUGAACAAGCCCCUAGGCCCACAGUCUGGCAGACCUCCACCAGCCCCAGGAGUUGAUAGGUGAUGGCGCUGGGAGAAGAUGUUCAGAAUAUCUCAAAAGCCAAGUCCAGAAGGCUCAGCUCUUAAUCAACAGGCAGUUUGAUGUCCUUCCCUGUCCAGAGAGUGAAGAACCAUCUGACGACAGUGACAUCUUUCCUUUUUGGGGAAAGAUGCUUCUAGAAUUUUCUUUCCUAAAGUUUGGUGAACCUCUCCCUUGGCAUCUUCCUCAGCUGAAGAUCCAGUUUCCAUCAAAGGGACCUCUCUUGUCACCAAAAUUUAAAAAAAGAAAAAAAAAACGAGUUCUGUUUCUUUAGCAUGUUUUACUUAGAGACAUAAAAGUUGGACUUGGCAAAUGACUAGGAAGGGAGGUCUGGGGGCCCCAGUGACCUUUUGGGCCACAGGUCAAGCAGAACUGGUGCCUGUCAUUCCUGUUCAGGGCCACAGACCCCCGGUGGAGCAGCUUUCUCUGCACACACUCACAGAACACAGUGUUUGCUUUAGAUUUUCUCACUCUAAAGGAAGGGAUUAUAAAGCUUAACUCAAUAGCUAACGUAGUUAGUCAUCUGCACCUCUGUCCCAGGGUAAUCCCAGUUACUGGGAAUAGGAGGAAUGUGCCGGUUCGCCUCCAGGCCUGCACCCCAGAGGACAGAGGCCCUGUGCCCAGGAACACUGUCUCUAGAAACAGCUUCUUUUAGGGUCACCUGUGAUGGGGAGCAGCCUGCCAUGCAGCCUUGUGUUUAGUGCUAGUGAUGUGGCUACACCCAGCCAGUGCCUGGUGCGAUUCUACCUCUAGCUCCUGAACAGGCGACUCGAAAUCUUAGUUCAAGGUGAUCCCAGCAAACACCAAUAGGGGAGAGGAGUGUCAACGAGGGAAGGAGGCUGGGCCUGGUGGCUCAUGCCUAUAAUUCCAAGACUUUGGGAGGCCAAGACAGGAGGAUGGCUUAAGCCCAGGAGGUCAAGGCUGCAGUGAGCUAUGAUUGCACCGCUGCACUCCAGCCUGGACGACAUAGCAAGACCCUGUCUCAAAAAAUAAAAAUAAAAAAAAGGAACCACCA